CUUAUGUUAAUCUGUGCUGGUUUGAAAAAUAAAAAAUAUAAACCAUCAACACUAUAGUAAACAAAACAAAGUUUUUAAAAAUGUUCUGGACAACUUAAAGUUUAUUGCAUUUUUGGCUUUUAAUACAGUAAAUAAUCAUAACUCACAUAAUCAAAACAGCUUCCUCUAUAUGCACUCGCCACACUAUUCAGAAACCUGCAACAUUUGCUUACCAGAGGCAACAUCACAAGUGAGGAUCCUCUUUCAAAUAGCUUCCAACAAUGCAAUCUUAAGCAGAGUUACAUCCUUCUAUGUCCAUUGACAUCAACAGACUUAGAACUCUGCUUAAGGUUACAUUGCACCUCUGUGGAAAAAUAGUCUCUGCCUGUCACCUAACCAAUCACUGCACGUCUGUAAAUCUGGAUAUAGAGUUAGACUUUAUAAUAAUAACAACAUCUGUAUACAGUAAGGGUUAUAUAGUCAUUCUGAACAAAAUUAGCUAUCAUUUAAAAAAAUAUCAAUAUUCUUUAUUACUAUGUUUCUUUCACUAAUCAGAACCAGUUGAUAAAAGUAAUAGCUUCCAACUUUCAUUUUUAUCUCCACUGACUGAAGAUAUUCAGGGACUGAAACAAGCUUCUGUGCUCUUUCAGAUCUUAGAAUAUUUCUUGAUUUGAUGUAAAUAUUUUCAGAUGUCGACCAGUUUCUUUAUUAUGCUGCAGAAGAAAGAACUGACAGCAGGAAUUUGGAGUCAAUUUCUAAACAAUUCGUUUUUGAUCAAAAAGACAUUUGAAGAGGGACCGGAAAUGAAAUUGUGCAAAAUUUCCGAAUUUCAUGUUGUGGAUGCUCAGAGGCAGGCAAUGUCUUACCAAGCCUUCGUAUCUUCGUGCUAGAGCGUCGAUCUGGGGAGUAUAACAUAAGACAACUGCAAAGGCUAAAGUUACAAAAGGGUGCCUUGAUUUCUCUUCAAAAAGAAAUUAAAGAGAAACCUUGCACUUGAAUGAGGAAAAAAGAGAAUAAGAGGCAUCAAUGGCUAUCUCUAGAAAACUGAAUUUCAAAAAAAGAAAUCCCCCCCUGCCCCAUAACAAUCCCCAUUCCAACCAAUCUGAAGUGAUCUGUUCACCAUGUCAAUGACUAGCCUGGGAAUGCAACAUAAAUUCUGAAGUGAAAUUACAUGUUUUGCAACUGCUUAUCUUCUUUUCACGUAAAGGUAAUUCACACCUGUUUUAUGCCAGGCUUUGUCACCUAUCUCAUUCUGCAUUAGUCAUGUGUGACAACAGCCAUUUGGUCCAUGGACAGUACAGUCCUAAGGGCUGCCUUCCCACCAGCCCCUGCACACCUGCAUAUGUGCUGCGCCACUUGUCCCCUCCCUAAGGAUUUUUAUGGGAGAGCUACACCAGCGGCUGAGCCCACAAGGCUUGGCAAGACUGCAGCAGGGAGUGCACACCCAGUUGUUUCCCUGACAACCCUGCCAGCAUCCUCCAAUGGCAGUGCCACCCCCUUGACAGGCCUGCAAGUGGCAAGCAAGGUACAUCCAAAGUGGAGGCAGCAAUCUCUGCCACGUAUCGACUGCUCCAUCCCCCCUGCCAGAGAGCAGGCAGCCAGGGACCACAGGCCACCAUGAUCAUAGUACCUGUAUCAAGGUGCCAGCUCAGGGAAAGCCAUCCAUGAGGGGGGCCCACAUGCCAGCGAAGCGGGCCCUUGUGCUCCCAUCAAGCUUAGAUGGGCAAUCGAGGUCCAGCCCCCUCAUGGGUGCCCCCCAGUGCUGCCCGUUGUUGCAAUCCCCUUCCCCCACAGAGACCAGGUGAUUGGGGUGGAAAGACACCCUAUGAAUAUGCUCACUGUGACCCCACAGAAACACCUAUCCCAAGAAGGGCUGUGCACCCAGGCAGAGGCAGUUGUUUGUCUGAGUGGCGGGUGGGGCGCAUGCCCACCCCCCAGCAUUUGGUAAGAGUCAGGCCAGCAGCCAAGGCACCAUGCACCUAGACAGCUCAGCCUCGCCACCGCACCUGGACACAAUCACAUACCCCCUCCAUGAAAGGUACAGCCUACUUUGUGGGAGGCAUGGGGCAACCGCUCCAUCUCCAGGGAAGGAUCCUCCAAGGGCAUCCCAGUCAGGACAGCUCCAGAGCACACUGCUGGAGUGGCCAGUAGACGCCACCCCCUGGUGGACGAGGGGACUGCAAUCUGCCCAAGGGCAUGCCACACUCACCAGCAGGGGCCUCCUGGCAGGCCUGCCACAUCACCUGGAUAACCCUCGCAGUGCACCCCAAGCCACCCCUGCAGGUGGGGAGGUGGGAGGAGGGCUGGUGGCAGGCCACAAGGUGCAGCCAUGAGUCAAAGUUAUAAGUCAAAGCCGCUGCUACAGUAGUCUUAUGAUUGCACUGUUCAACAGGUGCAGGUGCCGAUAAACAAUCCAGGUAAGUAAAUGUCCAGUAGGUAAGUAGAAUAUAAGUGAAACCAAGUUACUGGAGAAGAAAUUAAUGUCGCCUUUCUUUUUAACAGGUGGUUUGGAAGAAAUCAGGUCACCCAAAGGGGACGCAGCCCGCCUGCCCAACAAUCAGGGCUGGCUUGAAUACCUGAUGUUUCGUAAAGAACCUCCCUGGGGCGGAUGCAAAUUCCACCAAUCAAUCAUAAAGUGCUAUUCACAGAGCCAUAAGGCAAACAGUCAAAUAAUCAAGCAGCAAACAGUCAAGGAUCACAAGCCUCUUCUCCAGUAACUUGAUUUUGCUUAUAUUCUACUUACCUACUACACAUUUACUUAUCUGGAUUGUUCAUUGGCAUCUGCACCUGUUGAUCAAUACAACCAUAAGGACUGAGAAUAUUGUAGCAGCGGCUUUGACUUAUGAUUUAGGAUAUGUUUGCCUAUUGGAUUUUUCAUAUGAACAUGAAUGUUAUUCUAUAAUCUAUAAUUGAUUCUUUACUUUGGAUUGCUUGUUAACUGAAUAAUUAAUAGCAUUCUCUCA
Long non-coding RNA from Eublepharis macularius, 2942 nucleotides. RefSeq lists it as uncharacterized. The transcript is spliced from 2 exons. NCBI's taxonomy places the organism in Eukaryota, Metazoa, Chordata, Lepidosauria, Squamata, Eublepharidae. The record is from RefSeq and is a predicted model, not a curated record.